Molecule: ribosomal RNA, 253 nt
Filed under: uncultured bacterium
Lineage: Bacteria
Description: partial 16S ribosomal RNA
Rfam family: Bacterial small subunit ribosomal RNA
Source: RNAcentral
UACGGAGGGUGCAAGCGUUAAUCGGAAUUACUGGGCGUAAAGCGCACGCAGGCGGCUUGUUAAGUCAGAUGUGAAAGCCCCGGGCUCAACCUGGGAACUGCAUUUGAAACUGACAAGCUAGAGUCUUGUAGAGGGGGGUAGAAUUCCAGGUGUAGCGGUGAAAUGCGUAGAGAUCUGGAGGAAUACCGGUGGCGAAGGCGGCCCCCUGGACAGAGACUGACGCUCAGGUGCGAAAGCGUGGGGAGCAAACAGG